GUAGGUGAACCUGCGGAAGGAUCAUUAUCGUGGGGCUUCGGCCCUAUCGUGAUAGAACCCUUGCCUUUUGAGUACCGUCCGUUUCCUCGGCAGGCCCGCCUGCCAAUGGGGACCCCAAUAAACCCUUUUUAUGUACCUGUAUCAGUCUGAAAAACAAACAAAAGUUAAAACUUUCAACAACGGAUCUCUUGGUUCUG
Molecule: unclassified non-coding RNA, 197 nt
Filed under: rhizosphere metagenome
Description: partial ribosomal RNA internal transcribed spacer region
Source: RNAcentral